This is an RNA transcript of Panicum virgatum (switchgrass), 3940 nucleotides long. It is a transcript of the gene named transcription termination factor MTERF8, chloroplastic-like, with no coding region annotated. Lineage: Eukaryota; Viridiplantae; Streptophyta; Magnoliopsida; Poales; Poaceae. The transcript has 3 exons. The record is from RefSeq and is a predicted model, not a curated record.
GCCCCGCCGCUUCCGCCGAAACAGUCCGGCCCAAGCGAGCUGGCAAAUAUCGGGGCCCACGCGAGCGGCGAAAAGUGCUCGCCGCCGCCGCCGCCGCCGCCGCCGAAAUGCUCACCCUCAAACAGCGCCUCCUCUCCGCCCUCCGCGCGGCCGCCUCCCUCCACCGCCUCUCCUUAUCCACCACCGCCGCCGCCACACCGCCCGUCGGAUUCCUCGCCGAGGAGUACCUCGUCUCCAGCUGCGGCCUCAAGGCAGCGCAGGCCCGGAAGGUCUCCAAGUACCUCUCCCACCUCAGGUCCCCCGUCAAGCCAGACGCCGUGCGCGCCUUCCUCGCGGGCAUCGGCCUCGCCGAAGCCGACGUCGCCGCGGCGGUCGCCAGCUACCCGUUGCUCCUCAGCGCCAAGGUGGACACAACCCUAAUCCCCCGCAUCGGCCAGCUCCGCGAAAUCGGCCUCUCGCCUCCCCAGAUCUCCCGUCUAAUCGCCGUCACGCCUGAAGUCUUAUUUAGCCCCGUCAAGAUUUCCCGGCUCGCGUUCUACCUCUCGUUUUUGGGAUCCUUCGACAGGGUGCACUCCGCCCUAAACAGGAGCAGCUACCUCCUCCGUUCAGACCUUGAGACUGUUGUCAGGCCCAACAUAGCAUUCCUGCACCAGUGUGGCCUAACUGACGAUGAUAUUGGCAAGCACUUUUUAAUGAAGUCGAGGAUGCUCCUAACGCAGCCACAGCAUCUGAAGGAAAUUGCAGCGCGUGCUGAGGAGCUCGGCGUUCCACGCAAUUCUGUGAUGUUCAAGAACGUCAUGCCUGCCAUCUACAGCUUAAAUGCUGGAAGGCUCAAUGCGAAGCUCAGUUUCCUGAAGAAGGUUGUUGGAUGCUCUGAGGCCGAGCUGGGCAAUCUGAUGCGCAAGAUGCCGACAGUUGUAACACGUUCAGAGAGUAAGAUAGGGCGCAUACUGGAGUUUCUGAAGGUGGAGGUUGGAUUGGAACCUUCAUACGUCUUGCAGAGACCAGCAAUCCUCGGUUAUAGCAUAGAGAAGCGGCUAAUGCCCCGGCAUUGUGUCUUAAGGAUUCUGAAGGCAAAGGGGUUUCUGAGCAAAGAGAUUGACUUUUACACAGCAGUUUGUCCAGCGGAGGAGAGAGGCCAAAUGGCCACUGAACUAUAACUGUGAGAUGCUGAACUAGAACUGUUGGAUAUCAAUUCUGCCUUGCAAGUUGGUAUAUGUUGAUGCGGUGGAGUUCCUGAAGGUUGAGGUUCGAUGGGAUCCAUCCUUAGUGCAUCGUGCGCAGACCGGCAAUGCUCUUCUAUAGCACACAGAACCAACUUGGCAUUAUGUCAUAAAGGUUCUGAAGGCGAAGGGGCUUGUGAAACAAAAUAUUGACAUGCAUAAUGUGGUUUCCGCAUCAUAGUUCAGGGAGGAGAUUCAUAGAGUGGUUCCUAGACCGUUGCAAGAAGAGUUUCCAGGGCUGACAAAGGCUUAUGCUGCUGCCUGUGCAGGGCAAGUUCCAUAAAUCAAACCCUGACUGAUGUUGAAGGUCUAUUCUACUACCUCGGUAACAAACUGAGUUGAUACAUUGACAUGUUAAACCAUGCUCACUUCAGUUUGGGUUUCUGGUGUCUUGAUUACAAAUCAUGUGUUCAAGCCUGCACCUAAUGUCUCUGAAGUAUGAAAUAUUUGGAUUGCCUGAUUCUGCUUUCCAAUGCUUUUGCCUUCCUGCUUUACAAACCCUACUGAAUUAGCUGGCUUCUUGUUUGGAUAUAGUACUUUCACAAUAGCUGCUUAAUCGAAGUCUUCAUGGUACUAAGUAUGAAUUCAGAGUUCCUGUUAACAUAUUAUCAAUCUUACUUUGUGAAUAGCAUGCAGGAGUGUUGGCAACAUAUUAUCAAUAUUACUUAGUAUGAAUUCAGAAUUCCUGUUAACAUAUUACCAAUCUUGACAUAUUAUAUAUGUAUGGUUAAUCUUUUCUAAGUUACAGUUUUAUUAUUUUGUUGGUGAAUUCUGGGAUUUGUUGAAUAUUGGUUUCCGAUGGAAUGCAAGUGCGGUGAGCUCACAUAGAAAUGGGGAAGGACUGAGCUUCGCUAAGUUGUCUUGGACCGAGGGUUUAUUGGUACAGCUGACUGUUUGCCCUUUACCAGCUGGACAUCAGCCUUAGGUCUCGUUUGUUUUUUUAAGUUCACAUCGAAUAUUUAGAUGCCAAUUCAAAUAUUUAGAUGCCAAUUUUAAUUAAAACUAAUUGCAUAAGUUGCAAUCAGGGCUCUAGACGAAUCUGUUAAGUAUAAUUAAUGCAUAAUUAGUGGAUGAUUAUUGUAGCAAUUAGUGGUCAAACUAUGGACUAUGAAAAUAUUUUGUAAUAAGUUUAUGUUUAGUACUCUUAAUUGGUGUGUAAACAUGCGAUGUGACGGGACUUAUGACUUAAACUGAAAAUACCAAACUGGGCCUGAAAAACAAACAGAAGGGUUGAUUGAAUUAAUGCUGAUUGGUAAGACUGUCCAGGUUAGGUUGGAAUGCGGGCAUACUGUCUGACUUAUCAACACUUGGUCCGUUAGAAAACCUACAACAUGAGUUCUGCUCGGUCCUAAGACAGCAGAUCAACAAAAUGAAAUGACUAAAUCCUUGAGCUCAAUUCAGCUUUGUGCGCGCUGUGUCAUGGACUUGUUUUCCUUUUCAAAAGAAAAAAAAGGUAUAAAUUUGUGUUUGCUGACCGAGGCGUCGAAACGGUGACCGCUAGUCCGCAAUACUCCUCCCAUGACGGCGAUCCGACAUGGGAGGGAGCUUUGUCUUCUAGGCGACGAUGUCGAGGUGAGAUCGACGUCGCUGCAGAGGAAUAAGUGCCUCCAUCCUUCUCGUCAUGAUGGCGUUGGCUCCGGCGCCAUCUUGAGGUACGGGUGGCUCGACCUCUCUAGUUCUGUCUUCUACGACUACUAUAGGAGGGUCUGCUCUGGAGCCCAUAGAUAUGUGCCGCUCCUGCUUCUUGUGGCGGCGGCCGAGCCCUUUGUUGUUGGAAGAGAAGGCCUGGUGCUGGGUUUGUUGGCGUGGUGGUGUGUGUCCAUGGUUCUUCACGGCGUGUUUUGGCGGCUUGCCAUGGCCCUGGACCAGGUGCGCGUGGGGUGCUUCCCCGGCCGCUGCGCUACAUCGGGUUUUUGCUCGUCCUUUGGGGCGGCUUCUUUUGUGGCUCCUACUAAAGCUUCGGCGAUUUGGCGCGCCCUCCUGGUUUCUGGUGGUUGUCGCCGUCUCCAGCGGCGGAACCAGAAAAUUUUUGAAGGGGGGGCCAAGAGGCUAAGCCAACAUAUGGCCAUGGCGGCGGCCGGUGGCGUUACUGCGACGUAUGUAUGUCUUCAGUUCGGCUGAGGCGUCCGUUAGUUUGUUAUACCAUUGCAAAAACGAUUCAGAGUCUAUGUGCCAUGUCUGCGGCUAGGGGCGAAGCUACCUCUAAAAUUAUCAUGGUGCAACCGUUAAAGACCAUAAAAAAAAUUAACAAUACAUGGUAAAUGCAAGUCUAGCUAGUGCUAAAUUUUUCAUUACCCUGGUGCAUCGGUACCAGGCAAACUGUACGUAGCGUUAACCCUGGCUGCGCCGCUGCGGCUCCUCCUAAAAUAGCUCUGGUACAGUUUUUUGAUGAAGUAGAAACUGAAGUUGUGUUAAAAAAUUGUUUCCUAAAACGGCUUCAGUCGCCUAGGAUCAUGGUAGCCGCGAGAAGCCACAAUUUUUUGCUCGCAGGCAAAGCCGUUUUAUGGCUUUAUUCACGGCUCCCAUGAUAAAAUCAUUUUGAAAAUGAUAUUUUGAUAGAGCUUUCAUCAAAAGUCGGUGAGGAAGCUAUGCAAAACAUACUACUUUUUGCUUGUAGUUAUUGCCUCUUAGACUAUGUACUUGAUUUUAAUUGAAAAUACAACGUGAGCUACUAGAUAUUGAAUUUGUUGUAGAAUCACUUAUCUAAUUAUUUGUUA